Molecule: ribosomal RNA, 918 nt
Filed under: uncultured bacterium
Lineage: Bacteria
Description: bacterial SSU rRNA
Rfam family: Bacterial small subunit ribosomal RNA
Source: RNAcentral
UUGAUCAUGGCUCAGGAUGAACGCUAGCGGCAGGCUUAAUACAUGCAAGUCGAGGGGCAGCAUGAUUGUAGCAAUACAAUUGAUGGCGACCGGCAAACGGGUGCGGAACACGUACACAACCUUCCUGUAACUGGGGCAUAACCCGGAGAAAUUCGGAUUAAUACCCCAUAGCAUAAUGAUGUGGCAUCACAUUAUUAUUAAAGAUUCAUUGGUUACAGAUGGGUGUGCGUAUGAUUAGCUAGUUGGUGUAGGUAACGGCUCACCAAGGCGACGAUCAUUAACUGGUGUGAGAGCACGACCACCAGUCACACGGGCACUGAGACACGGGCCCGACUCCUACGGGAGGCAGCAGUAAGGAAUAUUGGUCAAUGGACGCAAGUCUGAACCAGCCAUGCCGCGUGAAGGAUGAAGGUCCUCUGGAUUGUAAACUUCUUUUAUAGGGGAAGAAAUGCAUUUUUUCUAAAGUGUUUGACGGUACCCUAGGAAUAAGCACCGGCUAACUCCGUGCCAGCAGCCGCGGUAAUACGGAGGGUGCAAGCGUUAUCCGGAUUCACUGGGUUUAAAGGGUGCGUAGGCGGGUAUGUAAGUCAGUGGUGAAAUCCUCGAGCUUAACUCGAGAACUGCCAUUGAUACUAUGUAUCUUGAAUGUCAUGGAGGUGAGCGGAAUAUGUCAUGUAGCGGUGAAAUGCUUAGAUAUGACAUAGAACACCGAUUGCGAAGGCAGCUCACUACACGAAUAUUGACGCUGAGGCACGAAAGCGUGGGGAUCAAACAGGAUUAGAUACCCUGGUAGUCCACGCCCUAAACGAUGGAUACUCGACAUCAGCGAUACACAGUUGGUGUCUGAGCGAAAGCAUUAAGUAUCCCACCUGGGAAGUACGACCGCAAGGUUGAAACUCAAAGGAAUUGACGGGGGUC